Molecule: ribosomal RNA, 423 nt
Filed under: Triticum aestivum (bread wheat)
Lineage: Eukaryota; Viridiplantae; Streptophyta; Magnoliopsida; Poales; Poaceae
Description: partial small subunit ribosomal RNA
Source: RNAcentral
AUGGCUAGUAAUUGGAGUUUCAGACAAUUUGGGGAGGUAAUUUGUAGCCAAUAUCCUUGGGGUUUGCUUGAUGAAGUGGUACACAAAUACUACGAUGGUGAAAAGAAAUGGGUGACAGUUAGUAAUGAUGAAGAGCUAGCUACCAUGUUUGUUAGGCAUAAAGAGAAAGAUAAUUUUCAUGUGAUGCUGCAAGUUGAUGUGCUUGAGCAGGCAUUUGGACCUAGGAUGACGGGUGCAACAUCUCGGGGAGAACCAAUUCGUAAUGGCAUCUCUAGCCAGAACAGUUCAGUUGGUGCACGACGACGUGGUGGCUCGACAAGUGUGGGCAACAACAGUAGGGUCUCCCUUGAAGUGGAGCAUGAUGACUACAGUUCUGGGGUUGAUGAAGAGAAGCUAUAUUCUGACAUUAUUCGGAAUUUAUGA